Long non-coding RNA from Lineus longissimus, 7371 nucleotides. RefSeq lists it as uncharacterized. NCBI's taxonomy places the organism in Eukaryota, Metazoa, Nemertea, Pilidiophora, Heteronemertea, Lineidae. The transcript has 3 exons. The record is from RefSeq and is a predicted model, not a curated record.
GCUCACCGUAGGGGAGUCUAUACAACACCGCAGUGUCCGUCGUCCGUCGUCGUCCGUCGUCGUCGUAUCCUGUUUCAAAAACAGUGGCACGUUUCUUAACCGCUAAGCCUAUGAACUUGUAACUUUGUACACAGGACUCCCUUGGUCAGAUGACCUGUGACACUAAAUUUCGGUCCGAUCUGAUUCUUAAUUUGGCCACCAGGGGGCCGAAUGUAGAUAUCUAAAAAGUGUGAUAUCUCGCUUAUUAAUAACUUGUUUGGAAUGAAAUUUUUGUGGUAGGUACUCAUAGCAAGGGUACAUCAUAUAUCAUACGGGUUUUUAAUUUGACCUACUUUUCAAGGUCACAGAGGUCAAAUGGCGUAAAUUGGCUGUUUCAGUGUAACUAUGGCACGUUUUUCAACCUCCACAGCUAUGAACUUGAAACUUAGUACAUAUAACCCCCUAUACCAGAUAACCUCUGGUGCUGAAUUUCGGUCUGAUCUGAUUCUCAACUUGGCCACCAGGGGGCCGAAUGUGGAUACCUAAAAAGUGUGAUAAUUCGCUUAUCAAUAACUUGUUUUCAAUAAAACUUUCGUGGUGGGUACUAAUAGCAAGGAUACAUCAUAUAUCGUACGGGUUUUUAAUUUGACCUACUUUUCAAGGUUGCAGAGGUCAAAUGGCAUAAAUUGGCUGUUUCAGUGUAACUAUGGCACGUUUCUCAACCGCCACAGCUAUGAACUUGAAACUUGGUACAUAUAACCCCCUAUAUCAGAUAACGUCUUGUGCUGAAUAUCGGUCCGAUCUGAUUCUCAAUUUGGCCACCAGGGGGUCGAAUGUGGAUAUCUAAAAAGUGUGAUAUCUCGCUUGAUGACUUGUUUUCGAUAAAACUUUUGUGGUAGGUACUCAUAGCAAGGAUACAUCAUAUAUCAUAUGGGUUUUUAAUUUGACCUACUUGUCAAGGUCACAGAGGUCACAACGCAGACACAGAUAUGGCCGAAAUUGCAUGUUUCGUGUUUUUCGUGUUGUGGCAAUCCAAAGGUCGUGAGUUCAAACCCCGGUCAAGGACGGCCAAAAAUAUUUUUUUUAUUUUAUUAUUUUUUUUAUCUUUUCACUUUUGUCUUUUCUGACUUGUACCUUACAUUUUCUUGAUUUUUUAUUUAUUUGGUGCCAUAUCAUUAGGUGGCUAUCUUGGAAAUCAUUUUUUGUCAUUUUGUAGCCUAUUGUUGUCACUAGAGUGAUGAAAUUGUUGGUGGAUGUGUAUACAUAUCACCCUGGUUUAUCAUUUGACCUAUCAAUCAGGGAUCACUGAGGUCAAAGUUAAAAAUUCACCAUUGUCAUCAAGUGGCACGUUCUUCACUAUUAUUUUGACCUAGACUGUACAUGCAAGCUUGGUACCGCAAGUCUCGGAUUCACCACUUGGCCAGGGCCAGUUCUGAACAGAUCACAGAUGCAUGUGUGAAUAAGGAGAGGCCUACAUGAUCAUAGGAAAAAAGGCAGUUGUCUGAUUUGUCAUACCUUACAGAAAUAUUAGAACAGCUCAUAGAUCAUUCCAAAUUUAGGCCCCACAGGCCAAAGUGGCAGCUGCAAGUACCGCACAUCAAAUUAUGCUUAUGAUUAACCCACCACAAUCGGGUGGGAAACUUGUACCAUGUGACCAUUACUUCUUGGAUUUUAUUGAAAAUUAUUUCAAAGAUGCCACUAAAUUUGUGCACGAAAGGCGCCCUAUAAGUAUAGUUGGAGACCAUACAUAAAUAUGCUGUACUACUACUAUUGUUUCAAUUCAGUUAGGAGGAAAGGAUUUCUAUGUAGGGUCUGCUGUAUUUAGGUUCUGCAUCACUGAAACUGAAAAAAAUACAUAUUUGAAAAAUAUCAGAGAAUAAUUUAUUCAGUAAAGGCGCUCCAUACAUUGACCACUUCCUGUUUCUCAUCUUGCAAGAGACUGCACAUGUGCUUGAUUUCAGGAUUUUCAAAGUGUUAUUAGUGCAUUAUUGGUAAGUUAAAUGCAACAUUUGGGACAUGAGGUUUGAUUAAAAUGUACAUUGGACCUACACUCAUUGUAUUUUCUAGUAUUAGUAGGUCUGAGGUGUGUUUUUGGAAGUUUGGUCAUGAUGCUCGUGCUCAACUACAUGCAAUACACACAGCAUGCAUGCAAUGAUGCAUGUCGUCUACACUACAUUAUUGUAUAGGCCUACACAUUGUUUGUUUACAAAACAUGUACUGGUCGUGCUGGCCACUGUAUACUAGUACAUUGGGUCAAUUGUACACAAAAUGUACUGACUGUCCCUGCCAUACCAGAUUCUGCAGUCAACCCAGUUUGCAAAAUUCAGCUGGCCACAACAAACUAGCAGAAAACUAGCAUCUGUUCUUUUGUUCAUUGUGCCUCUUAAAAGGUUUGUUGUGGAUGGCGUGGCAGUGACUUCCUCCGGCUGGUGUGAUGUUAUCUCUUACAGCUAAGAAAGGUCGAUCAAACGUUCUUGACACUUUCUGUCAGGCUGUGGUUGGGCUUAUAAUAAUAGGCUCGAUAAUAAUAUGCUAGUACAUGUGUUCUGCGCCAAUUGCCGAUUAGCGCUAUCUUAAGAUUGCGCUGCGCAUUCUUAGGAUCCUUUAAUUGCGCGGCAAUCUCGAGAUCGCGCAAGGGUGUCUCUGCGCUUUUUGCCGAUUGCGCAUUUUAGAGAUCAUCCUUUUAUGGCUUUGUAAGAAACAGAUUUUCACUCAUUUUACGUUGGUGUCUUUAUUUUUAACCUGACUUUUUGCUACACCUUCGAUUUGUCACGUUACUGUCAUGUGACUGUCUAUGGGAUGCCGGAUAUGAUGUGAAUGCUGGCUCAGGGUCCGUCUCAAAUCUUUGACUAUGGUGAUUUGUAUGAUUGUAGGCCUAUUUGUACCGAUAUUUAUGCUCCUGGUUUGGCUACUCUAGUUAUUAUUAUAGUUUCUCCAAUUACUUCGGCAUUUUACUGCCUUUAUAGCAUGUUCUAAGCCUCAAUUACUGCCACUCUUAAUGUCUGUUGUCUUGUCAUGUAGGCUAGGCCCUAGGCCUCCCCUGGCCUCAAGGUCUUCCUUGGGAAGGGAGACCUCAUGCAAAUGGUUAGGCCCUAUUUCUUAUAAGACACUCUAUGCUUUAUGUUAUUUUCUCAUUAUAAAUAUAAUAUCAACUACAUGUAUUUUCUUUUCCAGGUUACUCCGGCCACAGCUUGCAGAUAUCCAUCCUGAGAGUGACCACGCCCCUUUUAAUUGAUCAAAUACAUUUGAUUAUAGUCCUGCCUGUAGUCUCCCUUCUUGGUCCAAUUUGGUCAUCUCCAUUAAUGUUGAUCCCAUUCCCUUCUUAAGCAAGGGGUCAUCCAUUUUAUGAUAUGCAUCUGAGGGGGGGAGGGGCGUCAAUGUAAGCCCUACAUUUUUACCAUUUGAGGGGGGUGUCCGGAAAUCCAGACUUUUAUGCGUAUGAAGCCUGCUAAAUGGAUGGCCCCUUUCCAAUACAGCCUGUAAACCGUCCGCCUUUGAUAAAAUGAAAAACAUAAAAUUUUCAAGCGCAUCGGUUGAAGUUAUUUCACACAGAAUGAUGUUGAUAAUGACGAUGAAUAAAGACCAGGAUCACUUCAUAAUUAAUAGUUUAUAGUUUAUAGUUCAUAGCUCGUACUAAUAGUCUGUCUUUCACCACACUCCUUUACACACGACACACUUCCAGUUUUCGAUUUUCGAUUUCUUAGUCAGACGGUAACAGUCGUAAUGACACCACGUUAGGCAUCUUUCACAUUCGAUCAUCUUUGAUCCAUCGUCAAUACCGCGACACUUGCAAUGAAUCGGCGCGUCGUAGGUUCGCAGAGUGGCGGUUCGAAAUAGGCAUUCUGACACGAAACGAUUAAAGAAGCCUCUCUUGAUUCCGUCGGAUAGAUCUUUUCGUACAUCAUCGUAUGUCAGCGAUACGGGAUCCUCCCCGUAGGCGAUCGAUACUGCGUAGGCGACGGCAAAUGGGCCACAGUCGGAGAAGUUACUUUGUUGCUGCACGUUCGCGAGUUCGAAUGACAAUUUCUCGUUCUCUGAUUUAACAAAUUUUGCCACGGAUUGUUGCACUUCGGUCGAUAUCUCGCCCCGGUGUAGAGAGUCGUAUACGGUAACAACGUUGUCUUUAUUGCCGAUUGCGUUUGAAGCCGUAACCCAAUGGUCGUUUCCAGCAUGUAUAAAUUGGACGAAUUUCCCGGACGGUUUCUUGGUUUUAACAUGCCCGUGGAGUUGCCGAACUGUUGAUUCGAGGCCCGACAGUGCUGGUUCGAUCUUCUUGAUUAGACGAUUUGAUUCUUCCAUAUGUCGGUCCGUCAGCCAGUUGUUGUCGCCAACGUACAGCAUCGGGUUGAGGUUGGCAUCACGUUGUUGAUGUCGACUUGGUUUGGGUCUCUUGCAGGAUCGGCUUGGGUGGCAGUGACUAGUACACUCUUCGUUCUCCCGAAAACAGGCGCAUCGUUGCGUAUCGCACUUUCCUCUACAGUUGCAUUUGGCUUUGGACAUCUUUUUCGGGUAUGCUGAUCUGGCGGCUGAUCUCAGGGACACGGUGGCGUCGAACUUCGGCACAAUCGUGGAUGAGUAUGGCAUUAGGUCACCUCCACGAUAAGACCCGAUAUUGCCAUACUCCGUGCAGAGGUGGUACUGCUUAUCGUGAUCUCCCGUAAUCUUCGUUAUGAUGGCGGGUAGGCGGCGUGGAUUGCUGCUGGCUCUGUCUAGCUUCGGGACUUCAAUGGUUACGUGAUCACCGACUUCAAAUUCUGCGACCCGAAUUCUUUUCCUCCUCUGGUAAUUAAGGCGGCCAUGCCUUUGAUAAUGUGAACAGAUCUCACUAUGACACUUUGACCAAUAUUUUCUGACCAUCAUCUCAGAAGCCUAAUUAGCAGUGCUAAUUAAGGCGGCCAUGCCUUUGAUAAUGUGAACAGAUCUCACUAUGACACUUUGACCAAUAUUUACUGACCAUCAUCUCAGAAGCCUAAUUAGCAGUGCUAAUUAAGGCGGCCAUGCCUUUGAUAAUGUGAACAGAUCUCACUAUGACACUUUGACCAAUAUUUACUGACCAUCAUCUCAAAUCCAACAAUAAAUCACUGAACAAUAUGGUAGAACGAAUUCUACUACUAGUAAUACGUAGGGGACACCAUUUUCUUUCACACCAAGUUUCCCGUCCUCAUUUUCUUUCAUUCUUUACCGUUUACCGUUUACCGUCAUAGCGGCAUCUUGGCCCAUGAAGGGUCUUUGCCUCCUUCAUACGUAAACUUCUGCACUUCUUCAUUUUAUACGCAUUCUGUCCCUUAUACAAUAAAACAUUGCAGAAGUUGAUGUUACUUUUCAGAAUUCAAGCCCAUGAUCCGUGCAGAAGAUUAUUGUUGGAAUGGCUACCCAUAUUUCAUAUAUUUCAUCAUAAUUUAUGCAGUUUGAUGUUGCAAAUUCUCGGAGAGAACAUAAACUCAGUUAUAUUAUUUGCAGGCCAACAUCUCACAUUGGCUCAUGCAACACACACAACACCCCAACUCCCUUGCGCGAUCUCGAGAUUGCCGCGCAAUUAUAGGAUCCUAAGAAUGCGCAGCGCAAUCUUAAGAUAGCGCAGAUCGGUAAAAUGCGCGGAACACAUGUAUUUCAUUUACUUUUUUAGGUUGUUGCUAUUUCUAUGAGUCAUUGAGUGUAUUGCUGAUGCAGAUCAAGCUUAUUUAGGGCUACUGCGAUUGACACACUUAAGCAAGGUUGUGUGCUAUUGACACCAAAGUGGUGGUGGGGUUGUUGGAGGUUUUGAUAAUCUAACGCAGAUUUGGCUUGCACUAGCCACGACGACCUUCCACUGCUGACAAUUGACCAAGUGUCCUUUGUACGCCUGCCCUCCGAGUGAUAUUGGCUGUGCCUGCCAUAUAACUCUGGCAUUGGUGUUUAUUGCCUCUCACCAAGGCCCUCUCACAUUGGUGAGAACAUAGUUCAAGUGUCAGCGUACACUUGAACUUAAUCGCAGGUGUCAGCGUGCACCUGUGCCUGCCGGGUAACUCUGGCAUUGGUAACUGUGCAAGUGUUCAUCACACUUGCGUUUGCCUCUAACCAAGGCCCUCUCACAUUGGUGAGAACAAAGUUCAAGUGUCAGCGUGUACUUGAACUUAAUCGCAGGUGUCAGCGUGCACCUGUGCCUGCCGGGUAACUCUGGCAUAAUUUUCCAUUGAUGAAUUUUCAUCUCGAGAAUUCUCAUUUGGAAAAUUUUGCGUAACGCUGCUGGCGCUUUCUGAAGUUGUCUGCCCUGCUUGAGACAGCGUGCAACUUUCCACAGGUUGCACAGUCCAGGCUCUCUCACGAGAACCCAUAGCAGCACAGCAGGCUGCACGCCUGUUAUAUAAGCAUAAGCAAACGAAGAACAUAAGCAUAAGCAAACAAACAACCAGCAAAGCAAACUAUAUAAUCAGAAACAAAGAAAGCAAGCAAACCAGACCUACGAAGCAAAACCAAGUGAAGCGCUAUCAAAGUUAUGUGAAGAAGAAAAAGAUACUUCUCAAGAUUGACCAGCAGAACAGUCCAUUAAAGCCUGAAGGAAAAAGGUUGAUACUCAUUUCCCAUCGACUCCAUUUUAUAGGUGCAUCUUGUAGGACCAGCUACUCUUCAUCAUCGUUCCGACUAUUUUACUGUAUCCACCGUCAUUCUGUACUAUGUCUUUGUUAUAAUAUAAGUAUAUUUUUUCUUCAUAAAUAAACUCUUACUUGUAUAUUAUAGUAGACUUUGGUUCCUAUCUAUAGAUAGACAGAGACAUAGCUACAAAGGAACUGUUCCUGUAAUAUUGUUCAUCACCAAAAGUGCACAGCUAAUUGUGACAAUUUGGACAACCGGUCAAGACUCAAUAAAAUUCAUCGGAAGGUCGAGUGUAACCCUCUGAUUGUUCAGUUCUUCAAUAUAUUUACUACCCGUACUGAUAAUAUAUUUCCUACUUCUACCUGCAACAACGUGUUACUCCUGUUGAUAUUGAACCUAAGAUUGUGACGAUCAUAUUGGCCACAGAAAGGGUACGACAUUAUUGUCGCUGAUUAUGACUAUUGGGGAUAGACCGAUCAAGAGUGUGAAGUACAAUACUUCUGAAAGACAAGUACAUAUGAACUGAAUCAACUUCUUGAAAUAUUGCACUAUCGAAUUAUUUAGGGAAAAAAAGCGUGUCGCGCUUGUAGUAAGUUGUGUCAAUCGUAUUGUGUAAUUUAAUCCGUGGAAUAGAUAAAAGUAAGCAUGAUAUCUGUUGAACAAUACCGUUCAGCUGUGGGCUGUUUCUAUAGUAGAGCAACAUCCAGCAAACAUAAGGACAUUGGUCAGUGUGGAUGCACCAAAAUCUUCAUACCACACAGAGAUAACUCGAAAGGCUACAGUCUGUCUGAACUGUAUAGCUACAACAUUAGGUUUGAC